AUCCGGAAUAGUAGCUCUUGCUGCCAGGACCAGGGUCGGGUGGGCGCUGCCCAGCGCGGGAGGCGCUAGUUCAAUGUGUAGCCUCUUCCCGGGGUCAGCCGCGCGUCGGUAAUCGCUUCUGCAGGUCCCCUCCUUUUCUAGAAGUUUAUUACUGCUCUUCUGGGGCUGUGAGCGCCUACCCUCCGAGGGAAGUUAAACCCGGAAAUGUGGGAGAAAGGAUAGGUUCUUAUAAGACACAUACAAGGAAAAAAUACCAGGGAACGUGGCCCUGACUAAGUCAGCUACCACGGAGGUCCUACCCUUGGUUAAUGUUUUCCUACUUUUGGGACAUAAUUUACAUUGCUUAGGUGUUGAAAGGCUGCGUCCAGGGACAGCUUUCAGGAACGUGAAGGGAGGGGCGCACGGAGAUGGCACCGCCCCCUCCGGAAGUCCCCGCCCAUCCCCCGGAAGACACCGC
Long non-coding RNA from Myotis brandtii (Brandt's bat), 457 nucleotides. RefSeq lists it as uncharacterized. The transcript has 3 exons. Lineage: Eukaryota; Metazoa; Chordata; Mammalia; Chiroptera; Vespertilionidae. The record is from RefSeq and is a predicted model, not a curated record.